RNAcentral lists this ribosomal RNA (253 nucleotides) under uncultured bacterium. RNAcentral describes it as "partial 16S ribosomal RNA". It matches the Rfam family "Bacterial small subunit ribosomal RNA", at positions 524 to 776 of the family's 1533-position model. The record is from RNAcentral.
UACGUAGGGGGCAAGCGUUAUCCGGAUUUACUGGGCGUAAAGGGAACGCAGGCGGUCUUUUAAGUCUGAUGUGAAAGCCUUCGGCUUAACCGGAGUAGUGCAUUGGAAACUGGGAGACUUGAGUGCAGAAGAGGAAAGUGGAAUUCCACGUGUAGCGGUGAAAUGCGUAGAGAUGUGGAGGAACACCAGUGGCGAAGGCGGCUGUCUGGUCUGCAACUGACGCUGAGGCUCGAAAGCGUGGGGAGCAAACAGG